AGUGAACGCUGGCGGCGUGCUUAACACAUGCAAGUCGAACGAGAACGGAUUAUAGCUUACUAUAAUUGUCAGCUAAGUGGCGCACGGGUGAGUAAUGUAUAGGUAAUAUGCCUCUUACUAAGGGAUAACAAAUGGAAACGUUUGCUAAUACCUUAUACUCCUUAUUAACAGAAGUUAAUAAGGGAAAGAUUUAUUGGUAAGAGAUUAGCCUGUAUUGUAUCAGUUAGUUGGUGGGGUAAUGGCUUACCAAGACUAUGACACAUAACUGGUUUGAGAGGAUGAUCAGUCACACUGGAACUGAGACACGGUCCAGACUCCUACGGGAGGCAGCAGUGGGGAAUAUUGCACAAUGGACGAAAGUCUGAUGCAGCAACGCCGCGUGGAGGAUGACACAUUUCGGUGCGUGAACUCCUUUUAUAUGAGAAGAUAAUGACGGUAUUAUAUGAAUAAGCACCGGCUAACUCCGUGCCAGCAGCCGCCGAAA
This 484-nucleotide ribosomal RNA is filed under the name uncultured bacterium. RNAcentral describes it as "partial 16S ribosomal RNA". It matches the Rfam family "Bacterial small subunit ribosomal RNA", at positions 29 to 523 of the family's 1533-position model. The record is from RNAcentral.